ACGUGUGACCCUUUACGAAAUUGGUGAAAUUGAAACGAUAUAGAAAAGAUUAGCAUCAUCGCAAGAAUAACACUUACAAAUCGAGAAAUAAUCUGUACAUAU
Lycium ferocissimum is the source of this 102-nucleotide small nuclear RNA. NCBI's taxonomy places the organism in Eukaryota, Viridiplantae, Streptophyta, Magnoliopsida, Solanales, Solanaceae. The record is from RefSeq and is a predicted model, not a curated record.